RNAcentral lists this ribosomal RNA (585 nucleotides) under uncultured bacterium. RNAcentral describes it as "partial 16S ribosomal RNA". It matches the Rfam family "Bacterial small subunit ribosomal RNA", at positions 354 to 937 of the family's 1533-position model. The record is from RNAcentral.
UGGGGGAAUUUUGGACAAUGGGCGAAAGCCUGAUCCAGCAAUGCCGCGUGUGUGAAGAAGGCCUUCGGGUUGUAAAGCACUUUUGUCCGGAAAGAAAUCCUUGGCUCUAAUACAGUCGGGGGAUGACGGUACCGGAAGAAUAAGCACCGGCUAACUACGUGCCAGCAGCCGCGGUAACACGUAGGGUGCAAGCGUUAAUCGGAAUUACUGGGCGUAAAGCGUGCGCAGGCGGUUUGCUAAGACCGAUGUGAAAUCCCCGGGCUCAACCUGGGAACUGCAUUGGUGACUGGCAGGCUAGAGUAUGGCAGAGGGGGGUAGAAUUCCACGUGUAGCAGUGAAAUGCGUAGAGAUGUGGAGGAAUACCGAUGGCGAAGGCAGCCCCCUGGGCCAAUACUGACGCUCAUGCACGAAAGCGUGGGGAGCAAACAGGAUUAGAUACCCUGGUAGUCCACGCCCUAAACGAUGUCAACUAGUUGUUGGGGAUUCAUUUCCUUAGUAACGUAGCUAACGCGUGAAGUUGACCGCCUGGGGAGUACGGUCGCAAGAUUAAAACUCAAAUGAAUUGACGGGGUCAUAGCUGUUCCU